ACGCUCGACACCUACGGGGGCAGCAGUGGGGAAUAUUGCACAAUGGAGGAAACUCUGAUGCAGCGAUGCCGCGUGAGGGAAGAAGGUUUUCGGAUUGUAAACCUCUGUCUUUGGGGACGAUAAUGACGGUACCCAAGGAGGAAGCUCCGGCUAACUACGUGCCACAGCCGCGGUAAUCUGAGCGGGCUGGCAAGGC
RNAcentral lists this ribosomal RNA (196 nucleotides) under uncultured bacterium. Its description in RNAcentral is "partial 16S ribosomal RNA". It matches the Rfam family "Bacterial small subunit ribosomal RNA", at positions 328 to 539 of the family's 1533-position model. The record is from RNAcentral.